UAAUACGUAGGUGGCAAGCGUUGUCCGGAUUUAUUGGGUUUAAAGGGUGCGUAGGCGGCCUAUUAAGUCAGUGCUGAAAUAUCCCGGCUUAACCGGGAGGGUGGCAUUGAUACUGAUGGGCUUGAGUAGAGUCGAGGUGGGCGGAAUUGACGGUGUAGCGGUGAAAUGCUUAGAUAUCGUCAAGAACACCGAUAGUGUAGACAGUUCACUAGGCUCAAACUGACGCUGAGGCACGAAAGUGUGGGGAUCAAACAGGAUUAGAUACCCUGGUAGUCCACACUGUAAACGUUGAUUACUCGCUGUUGGCGAUACACAGUCAGCGGCUUAGCGAAAGCGAUAAGUAAUCCACCUGGGGAGUACGCCGGCAACGGUG
This 373-nucleotide ribosomal RNA is filed under the name uncultured bacterium. RNAcentral describes it as "bacterial SSU rRNA". It matches the Rfam family "Bacterial small subunit ribosomal RNA", at positions 521 to 896 of the family's 1533-position model. The record is from RNAcentral.